CCUACGGGAGGCAGCAGUGAGGAAUAUUGGUCAAUGGACGAGAGUCUGAACCAGCCAAGUAGCGUGAAGGAUGACUGCCCUAUGGGUUGUAAACUUCUUUUAUAUGGGAAUAAAAUGCUCCACGUGUGGCGUUCUGUAUGUACCAUAUGAAUAAGGAUCGGCUAACUCCGUGCCAGCAGCCGCGGUAAUACGGAGGAUCCGAGCGUUAUCCGGAUUUAUUGGGUUUAAAGGGAGCGUAGGCGGAUGGUAAAGUCAGUGGUAAAAUUGUGCGGCUAAACCGCACAAUGCAGGUGAAACUGGCAGUCUUGAGUACAGUAGAGGUGGGCGGAAUGCGUGGUGUAGCGGUGAAAUGCAUAGAUAUCACGAAGAACUCCGAUUGCGAAGGCAGCUCACUGGAGUGCAACUGACGCUGAGGCUCGAAAGUGUGGGUAUCAAACAGGAUUAGAUACCCUGGUAGUC
RNAcentral lists this ribosomal RNA (459 nucleotides) under uncultured bacterium. RNAcentral describes it as "partial 16S ribosomal RNA". It matches the Rfam family "Bacterial small subunit ribosomal RNA", at positions 338 to 795 of the family's 1533-position model. The record is from RNAcentral.